GACGAACGCUGGCGGCGUGCUUAACACAUGCAAGUCGAGCGGUAAGGCCCUUCGGGGUACACGAGCGGCGAACGGGUGAGUAACACGUGGGUGACCUGCCUCUAGCUCUGGGAUAAGCCUGGGAAACUGGGUCUAAAUACCGGAUAUGACUCCACGGCGCAUGUUGUGGGGUGGAAAGCCUUGUGUGGCUAGAGAUGGGCCCGCGGCCUAUCAGCUUGUUGGUGGGGUNAUGGCCACCAAGGCGACGACGGUAGCCGGCCUGAGAGGGCGACCGGCCACACUGGGACUGAGACACGGCCCAGACUCCUACGGGAGGCAGCAGUGGGGAAUCUUGCGCAAUGGGCGAAAGCCUGACGCAGCGACGCCGCGUGAGGGAUGACGGCCU
This 385-nucleotide ribosomal RNA is filed under the name uncultured bacterium. Its description in RNAcentral is "bacterial SSU rRNA". It matches the Rfam family "Bacterial small subunit ribosomal RNA", at positions 28 to 417 of the family's 1533-position model. The record is from RNAcentral.